GAUGAACGCUGGCGGCGUGCCUAAUACAUGCAAGUCGAGCGAACAGACGAGGAGCUUGCUCCUCUGACGUUAGCGGCGGACGGGUGAGUAGCACGUGGAUAACCUACCUAUAAGACUGGGAUAACUUCGGGAAACCGGAGCUAAUACCGGAUAAUAUAUUGAACCGCAUGGUUCAAUAGUGAAAGACGGUUUUGCUGUCACUUAUAGAUGGAUCCGCGCCGCAUUAGCUAGUUGGUAAGGUAACGGCUUACCAAGACAACGAUGCGUAGCCGACCUGAGAGGGUGAUCGGCCACACUGGAACUGAGACACGGUCCGGACUCCUACGGGAGGCAGCAGUAGGGAAUCUUCCGCAAUGGGCGAAAGCCUGACGGAGCAACGCCGCGUGAGUGAUGAAGGUCUUCGGAUCGUAAAACUCUGUUAUUAGGGAAGAACAAAUGUGUAAGUAACUAUGCACGUCUUGACGGUACCUAAUCAGAAAGCCACGGCUAACUACGUG
Molecule: ribosomal RNA, 497 nt
Filed under: uncultured bacterium
Lineage: Bacteria
Description: partial 16S ribosomal RNA
Rfam family: Bacterial small subunit ribosomal RNA
Source: RNAcentral